RNAcentral lists this transfer RNA (83 nucleotides) under Pedospumella sp. Jangsampo120217C5. RNAcentral describes it as "tRNA-Tyr". It matches the Rfam family "tRNA". Rfam says of the family: Transfer RNA (tRNA) molecules are approximately 80 nucleotides in length. The record is from RNAcentral. Lineage: Eukaryota; Chrysophyceae; Chromulinales; Chromulinaceae.
GGGUCGAUGCCCGAGUGGUUAAAGGGGGUGGACUGUAAAUCCAUUGAAAACAUUCUUCAUAGGUUCAAAUCCUAUUCGGUCGU